UAAAGCUGAAAUAGUUUAUUACAAAUAUUGAUUUGUGGAAUCAAAGAUUUUUUUUAUUUUGGUUU
RNAcentral lists this transfer RNA (65 nucleotides) under Allocarsidara bakeri. RNAcentral's name for it is "tRNA-His". Lineage: Eukaryota; Metazoa; Arthropoda; Insecta; Hemiptera; Carsidaridae. The record is from RNAcentral.